Molecule: unclassified non-coding RNA, 404 nt
Filed under: soil metagenome
Description: partial contains 5.8S ribosomal RNA, internal transcribed spacer 2, and large subunit ribosomal RNA
Rfam family: 5.8S ribosomal RNA (bases 1-121)
Source: RNAcentral
GAUGAAGAACGCAGUGAAAUGCGAUAAGUAAUGUGAAUUGCAGAAUUCAGUGAAUCAUCGAAUCUUUGAACGCACCUUGCGCCCUUUGGCUAUUCCGAAGGGCAUGCCUGUUUGAGUAUCAUGAACACCUCAACCCUCAUGGUUUGCCAUGAUGGGCUUGGACUUUGGGGGUCUUGCUGGAUUGUAGUCAGCUCCCCUUAAAUGAAUCAGCUUGCCAGUGUUUGGUGGCAUCACAGGUGUGAUGAAUAUCUACGCUUGUGGUUUUACAUCAGAUAACCUUCAGUGAUGGAGGUUCACUGGAGCUCAUAAAGGUGUCUCUCCUCUGUGAGGACAGCUCUUUGAAUGUUUGAUCUCAAAUCAGGCAGGACUACCCGCUGAACUUAAGCAUAUCAAUAAGCGGAGGA